RNAcentral lists this transfer RNA (83 nucleotides) under Chloroflexota bacterium. Its description in RNAcentral is "Chloroflexi bacterium (anaerobic digester metagenome) tRNA-Leu". It matches the Rfam family "tRNA". Rfam says of the family: Transfer RNA (tRNA) molecules are approximately 80 nucleotides in length. Their secondary structure includes four short double-helical elements and three loops (D, anti-codon, and T loops). RNAcentral also lists the same sequence under 1 other name. Lineage: Bacteria; Bacillati; Chloroflexota. The record is from RNAcentral.
GGGGCGGUGGCGGAAAGGCAGACGCUGCGGACUUAAAAUCCGCUGGCCGCAAGGCCGUGAGGGUUCGAUCCCCUCCCGCCCCA